UUGACCUUGGGCUUGGCUGGCCGGNCCCCUUCCNGGGUNUAUUGGUCNGGCCGGCCCUUUCCCUCUGUGGAACCCCAUGCCCUUCNCUGGGUGUGNCGGGGAANCAGGACUUUUACUGUGAAAAAAUUAGAGUACUCCAGGCAGGCCUAUGCUCGAAUACAUUAGCAUGGAAUAAUAGAAUAGGACGUGUGGUUCUAUUUUGUUGGUUUCUAGGACCGCCGUAAUGAUUAAUAGGGACAGUCGGGGGCACAG
This 252-nucleotide ribosomal RNA is filed under the name Strobilanthes forrestii. RNAcentral's name for it is "partial 18S ribosomal RNA". The stretch from base 99 to 252 matches the Rfam family "Eukaryotic small subunit ribosomal RNA", at positions 738 to 893 of the family's 1831-position model. Lineage: Eukaryota; Viridiplantae; Streptophyta; Magnoliopsida; Lamiales; Acanthaceae. The record is from RNAcentral.